UUGCGUGACAUGGGCAGCGAAAGGUGACUCGAGCUAUCCCAAAAAGCCGUCUCAGUCAGAUGCACUCUGCACUCGAGUGCAUGAAGGUGGAAUCGCUAGUAAUCGUGGAUCAGCAUGCCACGGUGAAUACGUUCCCGGGCUUGUACACACCGCCCGUCACACCAUGGGAGUUGGGUUUACCCGAAGGCGUCGCGCUAACCGCAAGGAGGCAGGCGACCACGGUAGGCUCAGCGACUGGGGUGAAGUCGUAACAAGGUAGCCGUAGGGGAACCUGCGGCUGGAUCACCUCCUUUCUAAGGUAGAGGACUUCACGAAGCUUGCUUCGUAUCGACCUCUCUUCAGAACAAAAGAGGCCAGUCAGGCCUCGACAUGCGGAACUUCGCCGUCUUCGUUUCUCUUUCUCUUUCCGGGCGAAUGCGCUGGAUCGAUAAGCUUAAGCGCUUGUCUCCAUCGUAUUCUGGGCCAAGCCAGGCUUUGGCCGGUCGAUCUUUGGAUCGAUUUGCCUUGGGCCUGUAGCUCAGUUGGUUAGAGCGCGCGCUUGAUAAGCGUGAGGUCGGAGGUUCAAAUCCUCCCAGGCCCACCAGUCAUCGAACGUGUCUGAACCUUCGAUUGCGUCCGUUACCUCCCGGGGCCAUAGCUCAGUUGGGAGAGCGGUAGCUUUGCAAGCUUCAGGUCGUCGGUUCGAUCCCGUCUGGCUCCACCAAAUCCGGAAAGUAUUCAAGUUCGUAUCAUCGGAAACGAUGGUUACGCUGCUGUUUGUCAUUGUGAAGAGGGAAUGUAUUCGAGAGCUGCUCAUCCUGCAGCAUGCGGAAUGUCCGACACCAUCGGCUUCCGUUAAAUCGGGUACAUUCGGCAAGCAUAAUGGUCUUUCUGAUCAUAUGUUCAGCGAGUUGAUCUCGCGGACAUCGAUCAUGAGAACGAUCAAGUGCCUUAAGAGCAUUCGGUGGAUGCCUUGGCGCUGAGAGGCGAUGAAGGACGUGAUACGCUGCGAUAAGCCGUG
This 1000-nucleotide unclassified non-coding RNA is filed under the name bacterium. RNAcentral's name for it is "partial contains 16S ribosomal RNA, 16S-23S ribosomal RNA intergenic spacer, and 23S ribosomal RNA". The stretch from base 1 to 293 matches the Rfam family "Bacterial small subunit ribosomal RNA", at positions 1233 to 1533 of the family's 1533-position model. The record is from RNAcentral.